GCACAAAUAAUGUAUGAUUUAGAUGUAUUUUCCCUAACACCCGCUUCUUCUCUGAGAAGCACAACUUUUGUUAUAUUACAGGAGAGAGAACUACACCGAACAAAAAUGUACAUGCAACAAUUUCAAAGAUUUUACUGAGUUAUAGUUCAUAUAAGGAAAUUGGUCAAUUUAAACGAAUAGAUUCGGCCCUAAUCUAUGGAUUUCCCAUAACUGGGAUAAUAUAUAUAUGCGUCUGUUGGUCACAGAUACCUUGAAAAAAAGUAGGGGCGUGGCUCAGAAAACUAGUGUCAUCUGUCAUAAAUGUCAUCUGGUGUGACCACCAUUUGCCUCAUGCAGCGCAACACAUUUAUUUCGCAUAGAGUUGAUCAGGCUGUUGAUUGUGGCCUGUGGAAUGUUUUCCCAGUUCUCUUCAAUGGCUGUGCGAAGUUGCUGGAUAUUGCCAGGAACUGGACCACUGUCAUACAGAUUGAUCCAGAGCAUCCCAAACAUGCUCAAUGGGUGACAUGUCUGCUUAUGCCUGCCCAUACCAUAAACCUGCCGAAACCAUGGGGCACUCUGUUCACAACGUUGACACCAGGAAACCGCUCGCCCACACAAUGCCAUACACGCUGUCUGCCAUCUGCCCGGUACAGUUGAAACUGUGACUCAUCUGUGAAGGGUACACGUCUCCAGCGUGCCAGUGGCCAUCGAAGGUGACAUUUUCCGACUGAAGUCUUACGCCGAAGUGCAGUCAGGUCAAGACCCUGGUGAGGACAAGGAGCACACAGAUGAGCUUCCCUGAGACGGUUCUGACAGUUUGUACAGAACAUUCUUUCGUUAUGCAAACACAGUUUCAUCAGCUGUCCGGGUGGCUGGUCUCAGACCAUCCCGCAGGUGAAGAAGCCGGAUGUGGAGGUCCGGGGUUGGCAUGGUCCUUGGUUGUGAGGCCGGUUCAACGUACUACCAAAUUCUCUAAAAUGACAUUGGAGGCGGCUGAUAGUAGACAAAUUAAUAUUAAAUUAUCUGGCAAAAGCUCUGGUGGACAUUCCUGCAGUUAGCAUGCCAAUGGCACCCUCCCUCAACUUGAGACAUCGGUGGCGUUGUGUGACAAAACUGUACAUUUUAGAGUGGCCUUUGUAAUGAUCAUGCUGUUUAAUCAGCUUCUUGAUAUGCCACACCUGUCAGGAGGAUGUAUUAUCUUGGCAAAGAAGAAACACUCUCUAACAGGGAUGUAAACAAAUUUGUGCACAGAAUUUGAGAGAAAUAAGCUUUUUGUGCGUAUGGAACAUUUCUGGGAUCUUUUAUUUCAGCUCAUGAAACGUGGGACCAACACUUCACAUGUUGCAUUUAUAUUUUUGUUCAGUAUAUUUAGAUGGUUUUGUUGUUUAAUACAUAGUUAUGGAAACACUUUCAUAGGGAUAUAUUUAUACUGUAUAUCCAAGGCCUGUAAUUGAAUGCUGCACUAUGUAGAGACACUGAAAGGCCAAUGUGAAAAUAUAUACAUUUUGUACUUUAUUUUAAUAUCUUUUCAUUUAGAUAAGUUUUUUCAUGCAGUACAUUGUUGUUAUAAGUUACUCAAGCAGUUCACCCUUUACCCAAGAUAAUAUACAUGACUGAACAUUUUCAAAUUGUUCACAUGAAAUUGUUUUUUAGCUAGAGCUUUUGUGUUAUCAAGAAACACGGUCACUUUUUAUUGACAUUUGUUAAUCACCUGGAAUAUGAUAAGCCCCUUGUAAUGCUUUUCAGUCAAAAAUGUGUUUUUAAUUCAUUGUUGGUUAUCUACUAAAAGAGGAAUUUUACAGUGAGUCGUCAGCACAGCCGUACGUUUCAACAAGGACUGUUCAGGCUGCUCAUGUGAACCCUAAUACCAUUGUGAGAUCUGGCUUGUGAACCCUUUCCAUAACAGGCUUAGGAAUGGAAAUAUUGUGUGGGUGUCUACUGUACACCACAGGGAAGGCCUGGUGCUCUGUUUGUUUAGGCCUGAAGCAUGUUCAAUCAGAAUUAUAGCACAGACAUGUUGCCAAUGUACAUAUGUAUUGUCUGUGGUGUCAUUUGACUUAAAAAAAAAACAAAGUCUCCAAUUCAUUACAGAGAUUGUUUAAGAUGAGUGCUGUUUUAGAAUAAUACACUUUACUGAUCCAUAUCAAUAAUACACUUUACUGAUCCAUACCCUGGCUUUUAAUUACUUGUAUGUAGAUUUACUCUGUUGUGUUGUGGAUGGGAUGGUGGCAGUACUGUAUCUAUGAAGCAUGGUCAAUGUAGCCUCUGUAGUUGCUUC
Long non-coding RNA from Oncorhynchus tshawytscha (Chinook salmon), 2257 nucleotides. NCBI's taxonomy places the organism in Eukaryota, Metazoa, Chordata, Actinopteri, Salmoniformes, Salmonidae. The record is from Ensembl.